GCCCCCCCAACCCCCACCGUGAUGGCAGUCUAGCAGUGUGGUUCAUUGCAACAGCCGCUCUGAGACCCUAUGGAGGAGAGGAGGUGUCUUGGAAUGAACUCCAGAGCAGUUUGUGUAUGGUCAUUCCCAGAGCCCCUCUCACUCUGUGGUCGCUCUACAGGACCAUCCAGUGAAGCCAUUUGUUCUUGCAGCAGAUGCUGAUAGGUCCCACGGGAGCCAGUGCGGUUGUCUUACUGCUACCACAGGCGGGCGGUCAUGUUGCAGUGAGAUUUCUCCUGUUUUCACCCAUUUCACAUGUGCACG
Archocentrus centrarchus (flier cichlid) is the source of this 303-nucleotide long non-coding RNA. RefSeq lists it as uncharacterized. The record is from RefSeq and is a predicted model, not a curated record. NCBI's taxonomy places the organism in Eukaryota, Metazoa, Chordata, Actinopteri, Cichliformes, Cichlidae. The transcript is spliced from 3 exons.